This 756-nucleotide ribosomal RNA is filed under the name uncultured archaeon. RNAcentral's name for it is "bacterial SSU rRNA". It matches the Rfam family "Archaeal small subunit ribosomal RNA", at positions 104 to 859 of the family's 1478-position model. The record is from RNAcentral.
AUAACUUACCCUUAGGACUGGGAUAACUCUGGGAAACUGGGGAUAAUACCGGAUAUUAGGCUAUGCCUGGAAUGGUUUGCCUUUGAAACGUUCUUUUCGCCUAAGGAUAGAUCUGCGGCUGAUUAGGUCGUUGGUGGGGUAAUGGCCCACCAAGCCUAUGAUCGGUACGGGUUGUGAGAGCAAGAGCCCGGAGAUGGAACCUGAGACAAGGUUCCAGACCCUACGGGGUGCAGCAGGCGCGAAACCUCCACAAUGUACGAAAGUGCGAUGGGGGAAUCCCAAGUGUUAUUCUUAACAGAAUAGCUUUUCAUUAGUGUAAAAAGCUUUUAGAAUAAGAGCUGGGCAAGACCGGUGCCAGCCGCCGCGGUAACACCGGCAGCUCGAGUGGUAGCUGUUUUUAUUGGGCCUAAAGCGUUCGUAGCCGGUUUGAUUAGUCUUUGGUGAAAGCUUGUAGCUUAACUAUAAGAAUUGCUGGAGAUACUAUCAGACUUGAAGUCGGGAGAGGUUAGAGGUACUACCGGGGUAGGGGUGAAAUCCUAUAAUCCUGGGAGGACCACCUGUGGCGAAAGCGUCUAACUAGAACGAUCUUGACGGUGAGUAACGAAAGCCAGGGGCGCGAACCGGAUUAGAUACCCGGGUAGUCCUGGCCGUAAACGAUGUGGACUUGGUGUUGGAAUGGCUUCGAGUUGUUCCAGUGCCGAAGGGAAGCUGUUAAGUCCGCCGCCUGGGAAGUACGGUCGCAAGACUGAAACUUAA